AUUGAACGCUGGCGGCAGGCCUAACACAUGCAAGUCGAGCGGAUGAAGGGAGCUUGCUCCUGGAUUCAGCGGCGGACGGGUGAGUAAUGCCUAGGAAUCUGCCUGGUAGUGGGGGAUAACGUCCGGAAACGGGCGCUAAUACCGCAUACGUCCUGAGGGAGAAAGUGGUGGAUCUUCGGACCUCACGCUAUCAGAUGAGCCUAGGUCGUAUUAGCUAGUUGGUGGGGUAAAGGCCUACCAAGGCGACGAUCCGUAACUGGUCUGAGAGGAUGAUCAGUCACACUGGAACUGAGACACGGUCCAGACUCCUACGGGAGGCAGCAGUGGGGAAUAUUGGGCAAUGGGCGAAAGCCUGAUCCAGCAAUGCCGCGUGUGUGAAGAAGGUCUUCGGAUUGUAAAGCACUUUAAGUUGGGAGGAAGGGCAGUAAGUUAAUACCUUGCUGUUUUGACGUUACCAACAGAAUAAGCACCGGCUAACUUCGUG
This 484-nucleotide ribosomal RNA is filed under the name uncultured bacterium. RNAcentral describes it as "partial 16S ribosomal RNA". It matches the Rfam family "Bacterial small subunit ribosomal RNA", at positions 30 to 507 of the family's 1533-position model. The record is from RNAcentral.